AGGCGGCGCUUUGUCCAGAAGAUUGACGCGAUUGCGCAAUUCUGGGCGGGGCUUUCUCAAGGGAGGUGGUGAAGGUGUUUUUCCGUGCAUUGUAGAAGGGAGUCAUCUGAAAGGUAGGAAUUUAUUGACCACACCUGGGGAUUACAGCUGCUCCGGGUAGUUCACCUGCGCCUGGAUGUUGUUGUGUCGGAAAUCUGGAUCUCCGCCCAGACCAGGUGAAUAGAUAAAACCAAUUAUGAUAGAUUCAUACAAUGGAAUACAACUCAGCAGUAAAAAGACCAAGCUUUUGAUACAUGCAUCAACAUGGAUGAACCUCAAAAUAAUUAUGUUGAGUGAAAGAAGCCUGAAAAAAAGUCUAUAUGUAAUUUCAUUUAUAUAGUAUUCCAGCAAAUGGAAACUAUAGUGACAGAAAGUGAAUCAGUGGUUGCUAGGAGAUGGGUUGGCUUGGAAAAGGAGGAGGAAUUGCGAAGAGACAAAAGGAAGCUUUUACGGAUGAUAUAAAUUAUCUUAAUUGUGGUGUUGGUUUCACAGAUGUCAAAACAGACAUCACAGAUUUUAUGAUGUCAAAACAAACUGUACACUUAAUACGUCCAGUUUAUGUCAAUCAUACUCAAUAAAGUUCUUUCAAAAUA
Long non-coding RNA from Myotis davidii, 632 nucleotides. RefSeq lists it as uncharacterized. The record is from RefSeq and is a predicted model, not a curated record. The transcript has 2 exons. NCBI's taxonomy places the organism in Eukaryota, Metazoa, Chordata, Mammalia, Chiroptera, Vespertilionidae.